This 64-nucleotide transfer RNA is filed under the name Allotermes cf. paradoxus. RNAcentral's name for it is "tRNA-Asp". The record is from RNAcentral. Lineage: Eukaryota; Metazoa; Arthropoda; Insecta; Blattodea; Kalotermitidae.
AAGGGGUUAGUUAAAUAAUAACAUUGGUAUGUCAAGCCAAAAUAGUCAUAAACGGCACUCCUUU